RNAcentral lists this ribosomal RNA (253 nucleotides) under uncultured bacterium. Its description in RNAcentral is "partial 16S ribosomal RNA". It matches the Rfam family "Bacterial small subunit ribosomal RNA", at positions 524 to 776 of the family's 1533-position model. The record is from RNAcentral.
UACGAAGGGGGCUAGCGUUGCUCGGAAUCACUGGGCGUAAAGCGCACGUAGGCGGAUUGCUAAGUCAGGUGUGAAAUUUCGGAGCUUAACUCCGAAACUGCAUUUGAUACUGGCGUGCUUGAGGACUGGAGAGGAGACUGGAAUUCAUGGUGUAGCAGUGAAAUGCGUAGAGAUCAUGAGGAAGACCAGUGGCGAAGGCGGGUCUCUGGACAGUUCCUGACACUGAGGCACGAAGGCCAGGGGAGCAAACGGG